UGCCCAGCAACUCCUAUUCCUACCUCCUCACGGUACUGGCAGGGAUACGAGCAACCUUAGGGAAGAUCAGGUAACCCCGGUGGGAACUUUGGUCGUAUGCUGAUAGGGAAGG
Molecule: ribozyme, 112 nt
Filed under: Aedes aegypti (yellow fever mosquito)
Lineage: Eukaryota; Metazoa; Arthropoda; Insecta; Diptera; Culicidae
Description: drz-agam-1 ribozyme
Rfam family: drz-agam-1 ribozyme
Source: Rfam by way of RNAcentral